GGCGAACGCUGGCGGCAGGCUUAACACAUGCAAGUCGAGCGGGCACUUCGGUGUCAGCGGCAGACGGGUGAGUAACACGUGGGAACGUACCCUUCGGUUCGGAAUAACGCUGGGAAACUAGCGCUAAUACCGGAUACGCCCUUUUGGGGAAAGGUUUACUGCCGAAGGAUCGGCCCGCGUCUGGUUAGCUAGUUGGUGGGGUAAUGGCCUACCAAGGCGACGAUCAGUAGCUGGUCUGAGAGGAUGAUCAGCCACACUGGGACUGAGACACGGCCCAGACUCCUACGGGAGGCAGCAGUGGGUAAUAUUGGACAAUGGGCGCAAGCCUGAUCCAGCCAUGCCGCGUGAGUGAUGAAGGCCUUAGGGUUGUAAAGCUCUUUUGUCCGGGACGAUAAUGACGGUACCGGAAGAAUAAGCCCCGGCUAACUUCGUG
RNAcentral lists this ribosomal RNA (433 nucleotides) under uncultured bacterium. Its description in RNAcentral is "partial 16S ribosomal RNA". It matches the Rfam family "Bacterial small subunit ribosomal RNA", at positions 28 to 507 of the family's 1533-position model. The record is from RNAcentral.